GAUGAAGAACGCAGCGAAAUGCGAUAAGUAAUGUGAAUUGCAGAAUUCAGUGAAUCAUCGAAUCUUUGAACGCACAUUGCGCCCGCCAGUAUUCUGGCGGGCAUGCCUGUCUGAGCGUCAUUUCAACCCUCAUGCCCCUAGGGCGUGGUGUUGGGGAUCGGCCAAAGCCCGCGAGGGACGGCCGGCCCCUAAAUCUAGUGGCGGACCCGUCGUGGCCUCCCCUGCGAAGUAGUGAUAUUCCGCAUAGGAGAGCGACGAGCCCCUGCCGUUAAACCCCCAACUUUCUCAGGUUGACCUCAGAUCAGGUAGGAAUACCCGCUGAACUUAAGCAUAUCAAUAAGCGGAGGA
RNAcentral lists this unclassified non-coding RNA (348 nucleotides) under soil metagenome. RNAcentral describes it as "partial contains 5.8S ribosomal RNA, internal transcribed spacer 2, and large subunit ribosomal RNA". The stretch from base 1 to 120 matches the Rfam family "5.8S ribosomal RNA", at positions 35 to 154 of the family's 154-position model. The record is from RNAcentral.